Long non-coding RNA from Stegodyphus dumicola, 520 nucleotides. The record is from RefSeq and is a predicted model, not a curated record. NCBI's taxonomy places the organism in Eukaryota, Metazoa, Arthropoda, Arachnida, Araneae, Eresidae.
AAUUUAAUCAAAUAUAUUUAAAAAAUUAGAAGCAGAAAGAAGAAUUAGAUUUUGAAGAUAAUCUGUCCUGAUUAGUUAGCGUUUAGACAGUUCUCAGUGUUGCAGCCAGUUCCGGAUGAAAAAAAAAUUUUUCUCAGAGCAAAAUUCGAUAAAAUAAGAGAACCAUCAUUAACAGCAAAGAAGGUGCCAAAUGACUCCAGGAAACAUCACAUGCCAGGGAGUUUACUCAACAGCGCUAAUAGAUACAUUGCUGCUGAAGAAAGUUACCAGAUUAAAAUCCUCACACUCUUCUUACUGAAAGGCUUGGAAUGUGGUUACUCAUCAUUGUAAUCUUUUUUAUCCCGGAUUCACUCCACAGCGUUGCCUGAAUGAUCACGAUUGUCUUCACAUCUUCUCAAAAUCAUAAUCUUUGGAUACCGUGACAGUACUAAAGCCCGUAGGUAUUUUCCAGAGCACGAAUUCUGCAAGACUGUGUGAGUAUCUCCUUUUUGAAUUUAUUUAUCAAUGCUUUUCAUGGUAA